This 435-nucleotide ribosomal RNA is filed under the name uncultured Anaerovorax sp. RNAcentral describes it as "bacterial SSU rRNA". It matches the Rfam family "Bacterial small subunit ribosomal RNA", at positions 341 to 792 of the family's 1533-position model. Lineage: Bacteria; Bacillati; Bacillota; Clostridia; Peptostreptococcales; Anaerovoracaceae. The record is from RNAcentral.
ACGGGAGGCAGCAGUGGGGAAUAUUGCACAAUGGGCGCAAGCCUGAUGCAGCAACGCCGCGUGAGCGAUGAAGGUCUUCGGAUCGUAAAGCUCUGUCCUUGGGGACGAAGAAGUGACGGUACCCGAGGAGGAAGCCCCGGCUAACUACGUGCCAGCAGCCGCGGUAAUACGUAGGGGGCGAGCGUUAUCCGGAAUUAUUGGGCGUAAAGAGUACGUAGGUGGUUCCGUAAGCGGGGGGUGAAAGCCCGGGGCUCAACUCCGGCGAGCCUUCCGAACUGCGGGACUUGAGUGCAGGAGGGGAAAGUGGAACUCCAUGUGUAGCGGUGAAAUGCGUAGAUAUAUGGAAGAACACCGGUGGCGAAGGCGACUUUCUGGACUGUAACUGACACUGAGGUACGAAAGCGUGGGGAGCAAACAGGAUUAGAUACCCUGGUA